This 592-nucleotide long non-coding RNA is filed under the name Homo sapiens (human). RNAcentral describes it as "HSALNT0387145". Lineage: Eukaryota; Metazoa; Chordata; Mammalia; Primates; Hominidae. The record is from RNAcentral.
AGGCUCGUCCCACCUGUGUGGAGCUCCCAUCGCCCUCCAGCGUUGCGCAGCCUGAAGGGACAGGACGGACAAGCGGGUGCCUCCUUCUAAUUCAUCUUCACCAUUGUGGUUGUCAAUAUGGCAUGCAGAAUUAUCCCUCUUUCCAGGUUUUCCCCAAGGACCCUGGACAAUGCUGGUUUUUCCUAUGUGCACCACCAAAGGGCCUAUCCAGCUUCUGGAGUCUACCUGGAUUCCUGGGCUCAUGGCCCCUUCCUCCAUCUUCAAACCAGCAAUGAUGGAGCUGAGCCUGACACUCUAACCGGUUCUCUGGGUGUACUGCAAAGGUCUAAUAAAAGGCACCUUUGCCCGGUUGCUUCAAUUCUAGGAAGCUGUUCAAUGUUUGACUAUAUUUCUCCAUACUCAUUUGAAAACAGUUCAUCAGGUUAGUUCAGUUGAAUUAUUGCUCCUUGGGAGUUUUCCAAACCCUGGAUUUCCUUCGGAGAGAGCUAGAUUCUAUUCCAUUCUUGGAAUUCAGCUCCUUGCCCUUCUCUGUGACCCCGGAUCGCGAAUGCAGUAAAAAUAAAAAUAUCCUGCUGCCUCCUGCACUAAGAAA